UACGUAGGGGGCUAGCGUUGUCCGGAAUUAUUGGGCGUAAAGCGCGCGCAGGCGGUCCUUUAAGUCUGAUGUGAAAGCCCACGGCUCAACCGUGGAGGGUCAUUGGAAACUGGGGGACUUGAGUACAGAAGAGAAGAGUGGAAUUCCACGUGUAGCGGUGAAAUGCGUAGAGAUGUGGAGGAACACCAGUGGCGAAGGCGACUCUUUGGUCCGUAACUGACGCUGAGGCGCGAAAGCGUGGGGAGCAAACAGG
Molecule: ribosomal RNA, 253 nt
Filed under: uncultured bacterium
Lineage: Bacteria
Description: partial 16S ribosomal RNA
Rfam family: Bacterial small subunit ribosomal RNA
Source: RNAcentral